This is a non-coding RNA of Sus scrofa (pig), 3842 nucleotides long. The record is from RefSeq and is a predicted model, not a curated record. NCBI's taxonomy places the organism in Eukaryota, Metazoa, Chordata, Mammalia, Artiodactyla, Suidae.
AGAGAAAGGACAAGGUCAAGUGGAAUCCGGCCCUUCGGAAAGUCCCCAAGGCAUGGGUAGUCUCCGCACCUGAACGUGAGCCCCCCACUUGCUCUGGGCCAGAGGACUGAGAAGGGCGUGUGGGCAAAAGCAUGCUUUCCUGGAAACACAUAUAGGACGAUGACCACGGGAGUUGUACACUUCUGGUGUGACACGGCAACUGGCUCUGGAGAAGCCAGCUACACGCGGAGCCCACGUUUUAAGACGGUGCUAUGGAAUUGCCGUGGGUUUGGCGUGUGUACACAUGCUGGAAAAACACUGUGUCGAAGAACGCUCCAGCCAAAUGGUGUUAUUGGCUUUCCACAAGAGGUGGGCACAGUGUCAGUCUCAGGUAACUUGUGGUGGAAGAAGCAACAGAGCUCGUUGUUGCAGAAGGAAGGUGAAGACGUGCAGGCAACCUGGACUAUCUGUGGUUUAGAUGAAGGUGACGGCCAGCCCGCGCCCAUGGGGAUGCUGUGCCCGCACCAUGGACUCCCCACUCUCAGCACCCUCCCCAGAAGACAGCACCCUAUCUCCCUACUCUCCCGGUCACCGCUCCAGUUCUGUCCAAGGAACCUUUUCCAACCAAAGGACCUGUGCACCUGAUGGGGGUGGGGGGAGCUCCUGUUAUUGUCAUAAAUCACAAGUGCAUUUCUAUUGCAGAUCCCACGGCCCAGAGCAACGCUAAUCGCAUGAAUGAAAAAAACGGGGUGCUCUCUAUGUAACCAACACACUGCUGGGGAGAGAGUAAUACAAAUUAUCUUCAACAUAAAAUUACACUACUAAAGACUAUGUUCCUAAAAUCUACAACAACAAAAAACUAUGUUCCUAUUACAGUCACCCUCUAAUUGCAACCACUGCAGAAGUGACUCGAUCGUGGAGCUCCAAUUGCUUAAAUGGGCCAGAAGACUUAGUGACUUUAGCCCAUUUGAUUCCCCAAAUUUUUCUGCAAAAGAAAAUAUUACACACACACCUAUACUAAAUAUAGAAAAUAUAGUUAUACAUAUAAACAGGACACACAAAGGAGUACCCGUCAAACUGUUGGAAUCUGGGGGAAAAAAAAAUCUGAUAAAAUCUGAAUAAGAUGGAUGGACUGUACCAGCAUCCGUGUCCUGGCUGUGAUCCUGGACUGUAGCUUCACUAGACAGUACCGUGGAGGGGGAAACAAGGGUGGGGAAUCUACAAUUACCUCAAAAUAAAGUUUAAAAAUACUGCCGUGACUGUGCAAUAACCUACAUGGGAAAAGAAUCUGAAAAGAGAUGGGUAUGUGUAUAUGCAGAACUGAGUUACUUUGCUGUAAAUUAACACAACUUUGUAAGUCAGCUAUAUAAAAUAACAUAUUCAAAAAUCUAAGACUUAGAUUUUUUACCACUUGUAGAAAAUGAAAAUUUGCAUAAAUAUUCCUUUGUAUAUGAUCUAAAAUUACCAGAUGAUAAUACAAAUAUUCACUAUAAAAAAUACUGCCUUUAAAGUGAAUAUCUAUAAAUUCUCCAUUGACUUUCACUGGGUUGCACUGAAAUAUACUCCUACGGGGAGUAAACUAAUACAUAAUGGGAAAAAUAAAACUGUUUAGACAAAAAGAAAAAUAAUAUUGGAAAUAAGAAGGGGAAAAGAAGUGGUUUUCCAGUGGAAACAAAUAUUACUCAGGGAGUCACCCUGCAUUUUCACCCAAAAUGCAGUCUGAUGUUCUGCUUUUAUAUUUUGAGAGCAUGUGUUUUCCUAAAAGAAAAAAAGAAGCAAAAAGAGAGGGCAAACACCCAUAAUUUCACCCCAAAUUACAGCUAUGCUCUUAUUUCACUUGCAGGUCGCUCCACGUACAGCAACAUGUUUCUCACGGUCAGAAACGCAGUGUGUAUAACAUUCUGUGACUUGUUUUUAGCAUCAUAGGAUAAACAUUUUCAUGCAGCUCCAUAACCUCCCUCAUUGCUGAAUUUCAAUGGCUGCACGUGAUCCUGUUGAGUGUACUACGAUAUAAUGAAUUAGCCUUCUAUUAUUGAUUCUUUGGUUUGCUUCUAACUGGGUGCUAUAAUAUUGGUCAAACUGACCACUGUACAGAUAACUUGUUCUACUCUUAUAGUUAUUACUCCUACAGUUAUUUUCUUCAGGAGAGGAAGUUCAGAUUUCUGGAAGUCGAAUUACUGGCUCAAAAGAUAGGAAAGCUCUACUUGUAUAGCUUUUUCUAUACAGCACCCAAGUGCCCUCAGUUUUACAGUGACCAACUUCCGUCCCCAUUACCAGGGCGGAAGGGGCCCCGUACAUCACUAUUUUGUGUGCAUGCUAACACUAGGUAUUAACAGUCUUACAUUUUCUUGUCAGUUUUAAAAAUGCCUUGUUUUAAUCUGCAUUUGGGGAUGAAGAGAAGGCAUGGCUUUUCCCCGUGUUUGUUCACGAAUAUUUCCCCUCGAUUCUGUAGCUUCUUUUUCUUUUCAAAUUGUAUUGAUUUGCGCCCUCUCCCUAUUUUUCUUGAUGAGUCUAGCUAAAAGUUGAUCCAUUUUGUUUAUCUAUCUUUUCAAAGAACCAGACUUUAGUUUUGUUGAUCUUUCCUACUGUUUUUCUCCGUCUCUAUUUCAUUUAUUUCUGCUCUGAUCUUUAUGAUUCCUUUGCUUUUACUAACUUUGGGUUUUGUUUGUUCAUCAGUUUUGAGUCCUUAUAAUUUUUGCCAGGAUUUUCAUCUUGGGCGUCUUUGAGAAUUGCCAGCAGCCUCAUACAGACCCUGAGAAAUCAAUUUCCCCUCAAGAGCUACAAAUGCCAGUGGUGGCUUUCACAGCACAUAAAGUAAGUCUGAGAGAUACUUUACACGCUUCUCAGAGCAGUGAGAAACCAAAGAUGGUGGCCUGGCUGGGCAAGGCUGGAGCUUUCCUCAUUAUUUCUCUACUUUCAUGCCUUUAACUAAUCUUCUGAUUCUGUGUAAGCAUAGCUUUUUUUUUUUUCCUUCUUCUUUAUAAUGGUUCCCCCUCUUUUGAUCUUUUUGAAGGCUUUCCUAGGAAAAUAUGCAUGCUAAAUUUGUCCAAUGUUUAUCUGAAGGUUUAGGUACAAGUGUCCUCAGAAUUGUAACAGUGUAUUGCAGAUUCGAGAACACAAUAAAAAGCAAGCCUGCCAUUACUGAGCCAGAGGUGGCUGGGAUAUAAGGGCCUAAUGGGGCAAGAACUACUCACUCAAUCAAAAGCAAUUAUGUAGUCCAUCCAGCGAAAGAGGGUGCUUAUCUGCUAUUCAGAGGUGGAUUAGAUUAUUUUACAACUAUCUGCAAAUUACUGGAAAACUCUAAAAUGGACAUCGUUUCUUCUCUUUCCCCUUCUUACAGGAAUUUUUUGAUUACCCACGAAUUCUACUGCACCGAGACCCACAGGCCAGAAAAUUCCAUUUAAAAUGCCAAUCAAACCAAGAAGCUGUGCACAGCUUCGGUUUCGGCCGGGGAAGAGCUGAGGAGGAAGGCUGCAGCAGGACACUGACCUCAGGAGCUCCACGGUCUCGGAGUACAUGGAAGAAGACUGGUCAACGUGGGAGUUCCUCUGCUCGCCUUCCUCCGAAGGAGUGGUUCUCAACCCGGGGCAAUUGCACACCCCUCCGCCAGGGUACCCCUGGCAACAUCUGGAGACGCUUUUUGGUGGUCACCCCCCGGGCCAGGGGCCAUCUAGUGGGCAGAGGCCGGAGAUGCUGGUGGAGAAGAGAAAACGGCACCCAAGGAUCAGGGGACAGUAUCCUCCAAGAGACAAGUCACACCCCUGAAAAGUCAGCUGCAGGGUCCUGCACUGGCUGUGGGCCUCCCUCUGGAAACGUCAUCAGAUGCAGCAGAAAGCUGAGUCUUUUUCUACAGACCUGAGUUU